CCUACGGGAGGCAGCAGUGAGGAAUAUUGGUCAAUGGACGGGAGUCUGAACCAGCCAAGUAGCGUGAAGGAUGACAGCCCUAUGGGUUUUAAACUUCUUUUAUAUGGGAAUAAAGUGUUCCACGUGUGGGGUUUUGUAUGUACCUUAUGAAUAAGCAUCGGCUAACUCCGUGCCAGCAGCCGCGGUAAUACGGAGGAUGCGAGCGUUAUCCGGAUUUAUUGGGGUUAAAGGGAGCGUAGGUGGAUUGUUAAGUCAGUCGUGAAAGUUUGCGGCUCAACCGUACAAUUGCAGUUGAAACUGGCAGUCUUGAGUAUAGGAGAGGUGGGUGGAAUUCGUGGUGUAGCGGUGAAAUGCUUAGAUAUCACGAAGAACUCCGAUCGCGAAGGCAGCGCACUGGACUGAGACUGACGCUGAGGCUCGAAAGUGUGGGUAUCAAACAGGAUUAGAUACCCGGGUAGUC
This 460-nucleotide ribosomal RNA is filed under the name uncultured bacterium. RNAcentral describes it as "partial 16S ribosomal RNA". It matches the Rfam family "Bacterial small subunit ribosomal RNA", at positions 338 to 795 of the family's 1533-position model. The record is from RNAcentral.